UACAGAGGGUGCAAGCGUUACUCGGAUUUACUGGGCGUAAAGCGUGCGUCGGCGGUUCAUUACGUCGGUUGUGAAAUCCCUGGGCUUAACCUGGGAACUGCAGUCGAUACUGGUGGACUAGAGUGCGGUAGAGGGUGGCGGAACUCCGGGUGUAGCGGUGAAAUGCGUAGAUAUCCGGAAGAACACCGAUGGCGAAGGCAACCACCUGGGCCUGCACUGACGCUGAGGUACGAAAGCGUGGGGAGCAAACAGG
This 253-nucleotide ribosomal RNA is filed under the name uncultured bacterium. RNAcentral's name for it is "partial 16S ribosomal RNA". It matches the Rfam family "Bacterial small subunit ribosomal RNA", at positions 524 to 776 of the family's 1533-position model. The record is from RNAcentral.